GGCUGGGUCCUCCGCAACACCCGGAAGGUGAACCCCGCCAGGCCCGGAAGGGAGCAACGGUAAGCUGGAAGGGUGUGUGCGGUAAGGGUCCAGCCCCUU
RNAcentral lists this signal recognition particle RNA (99 nucleotides) under Desulfurobacterium atlanticum. RNAcentral describes it as "Bacterial small signal recognition particle RNA". It matches the Rfam family "Bacterial small signal recognition particle RNA". From Rfam's summary of the family: The signal recognition particle (SRP) is a universally conserved ribonucleoprotein involved in the co-translational targeting of proteins to membranes. Archaeal SRP consists of a 7S RNA and homologues of the eukaryotic SRP19 and SRP54 proteins. In most bacteria, the SRP consists of a 4.5S RNA and the Ffh protein (a homologue of the eukaryotic SRP54 protein). The record is from RNAcentral. Lineage: Bacteria; Pseudomonadati; Aquificota; Aquificia; Desulfurobacteriales; Desulfurobacteriaceae.